RNAcentral lists this ribosomal RNA (548 nucleotides) under uncultured Glomeromycotina. RNAcentral's name for it is "SSU rRNA". It matches the Rfam family "Eukaryotic small subunit ribosomal RNA", at positions 548 to 1097 of the family's 1831-position model. Lineage: Eukaryota; Fungi; Glomeromycota. The record is from RNAcentral.
UUGGAGGGCAAGUCUGGUGCCAGCAGCCGCGGUAAUUCCAGCUCCAAUAGCGUAUAUUAAAGUUGUUGCAGUUAAAAAGCUCGUAGUUGAAUUUCGGGGUUAGUAGGUUGGUCGUGCCUCAGGUAUGUACUGAUCUCACUGAUUCCUCCUUCCUGAUGAACCGUAAUGCCAUUAAUUUGGUGUUGCGGGGAAACUGGACUGUUACUUUGAAAAAAUUAGAGUGUUUAAAGCAGGCUAACGCUUGAAUACAUUAGCAUGGAAUAAUGAAAUAGGACGUUCGAUCCUAUUUUGUUGGUUUCUAGGAUUGACGUAAUGAUUAAUAGGGAUAGUUGGGGGCAUUAGUAUUCAAUUGUCAGAGGUGAAAUUCUUGGAUUUAUUGAAGACUAACUACUGCGAAAGCGUUUGCCAAGGAUGUUUUCAUUAAUCAAGAACGAAAGUUAGGGGAUCGAAGACGAUCAGAUACCGUCGUAGUCUUAACCAUAAACUAUGCCGACUAGGGAUCGGAUGAUGUUAAUUUUUUAAUGACUCAUUCGGCGCCUUACGGGAAA